ACAUCAGUGUAAACACUUCAAUAAAUCACUUUAGAAAGACAACCCAAAAAUUUAGCAACUUAAUAUUAUUUUGACCACAUUAAGUACACGCAUGCGCUAUCGGGAACUUUCCCUUAUACGACCUCCAACAGUGUCCACAGUUGACAGUACUCAUUAUAUAUACUGCUCAUGUAUGUAUGGGUAUGGGUACACUAUACUCUAUGUGCAAAGUGGCACGUUUUCGACUUGACGUGAUUUUCUUUCGCCGGCAACACUGGCCAAAUAUAUCUCGCGACUUUUCUUAUUUUCUUUGCGUGACUCGAAUUCGAUAUGAUUGUUGAAGCAAUAUGGAUUCUGUUUCGCAGAAAAUAUUAGAAUGAAAGACAAACUGUUGAUAUCAAAAAUAAGAAUAAGGUUAAAAUUCUCCAAGAUAUGAGAAUAGAAACUCUAAAAGUCUGUUAGAUCAAUUGAUUAAAAAUCCAUUUCGUGAAAAAGUAGAAAUAAACCUUCAAACAUGUCGAUGAGCUUGAGAACAUCUUUGUGGAGAGCAAAAGCUUCUCUUUCCUCUCAAGCUCGUGUUCUCUUCAGACUUUAUUCCUCCCAGCGAGAAAAGCCAGUUGAGAAGAGAUACACCGAUACCAUUUUACUACCAAAAACAAACUUUCAGGCUAGAAUAACUGGUAAAAAACGAGUUGAAAUGGAUAAAUAUUUGCAAGACAAAUGCGGCUUUUCAGAAUUAUAUAAUUGGCAAAGGGCUAAUUUAGAAGGUCCUGAUUUUGUACUUCACGACGGACCUCCCUAUGCCAAUGGAGACCCUCAUAUGGGACACACGAUAAACAAAGUACUAAAAGACAUAACUAUUAGAAGUAAAGUGAUUAAGGGUCAGAGAGUGCACUAUGUUCCUGGAUGGGAUUGUCAUGGUCUACCCAUAGAGCUAAAAGCUCUUACAAGUGCUAAAAAGAGAGUUUCUGAAUUAACACCUAUGCAGAUUCGAGCACAAGCUCGUAAAUUUGCAGAAGAUGCUGUUAAUAAGCAGAGACAAGUAUUUUCUUCUUGGGGAGUUAUGGCUGAUUGGAAAGACAAUGGCUGUUACUUCACAAAUACUGUUGCUUAUAUAGUCAAUCAAUUAAAUCAAUUUUACAAUCUGUACGAGAAGAAUCUGGUAUACCGAGAUUUCAAGCCUGUGCAUUGGUCUCCUUCAUCCAGAACUGCACUGGCAGAAGCUGAGUUGGAAUAUAGAGAUAAUCACCAAAGUAAAUGUGCAACUGUUCGACUACCUAUAGUUGAGCUGCCUUCAAAGUUAGCUGCAUUUCAAGGGAAGUCAAUAUUUGGUCUCACUUGGACAACAACUCCUUGGACUUUAGUCGCUAAUCAAGCGCUAGCCUAUUCUCUAGAUGCUGACUACUGCUUAGCAGAGGAUGACGAGGGAAAUUUGUAUAUACUUGCAGUAGAAUUACUAGAAAAGAAUAUUGAAAAAAUUGGACAGCUUAAUGUUGUUACAACGUUUUCAGGGAAUGAUUUGGCUGGAGCAAAGUAUUCGCAUCCAAUAACUGGCAUCACAUUACCGUUUUUACCUGGAGAUCACGUAAAUACUGAACAAGGUACAGGCUUAGUACAUACUGCUCCUGCACACGGACAAGAAGAUUUUCUCGUAGCAUUAGAAAAUAGUAUACCUGUAUUAUCAUUGGUCGACGAAGAAGGCAAAUACACAGCAGAAGCAGGCUCUGAUUUUCAUGGGCUCAAAGUUUUGGAGCAAGGCACGGACGCAGUGAUCGCGCGAAUCAAUAAGAAUAUUCUCCAUACCGAGACGAUAAGUCACAGCUAUCCUUAUGAUUGGAGGACAAAGAAGCCUAUAAUUGUACGUGCUAGUCAUCAGUGGUUCAUCGAUACCAAUUCUAUAAAAGAUCAGGCUAUGAAAUGCAUAGAGAACGUUAAUAUAUAUCCUGCGCAACACAGGACUUCAUGGACCAAUGCGCUGCUCACGCAAUUGAAGCAAAGACCAUAUUGGUGUAUUUCUCGCCAAAGAGUCUGGGGUACACCGAUACCCGUUUUGUACUACAAAGACACUGGAAAGAUUUUCAUCACAAAGGAAUGGAUUGAGAGACUGUGUGAAUUAUUAGAGAAAUAUGGCCCCGAUUGCUGGUGGGAGUUACCAGUAGAGAAACUGUUGGGUAAAAGAUUAUGCGCAGAACUGAAUCUGUCUGGCUCGGAAUUCAGAAAAGGCGAUGAUAUCCUGGAUAUUUGGUUUGAUAGCGGUAUUUCGUGGUCAGCUGUACUGCCCGAAAAGAAAGCAAAUCUGUACAUGGAAGGGAUGGAUCAAUUCACUGGCUGGUUCCAGUCGUCACUUUUAACGUCCGUUGCUUUGCAAGACUGUGCACCUUACCAAGAUCUAUUUGUACACGGAUUCGCCGUUGACGAAAAGAACAAUAAAAUGUCGAAAUCGCUCGGAAACGUUGUUGAUCCAGAGGAGAUAGUCAAAGGCGGAAAAGAUAUGAACAAGAAGCCAGCAUACGGAGUCGAUGUAUUGAGGUGGUGGGUAGCUAAUCACGGAACGCAACACACGCUUGUGCCAAUGAAAAAUUCGUUGCUGCAGGGAAGCGCAGAUACAGUCCACAAACUUCGUUUAGUUUUUAGAUUUCUCUUAGGUGCCCUACACACCUAUGACGAGAACAAAAAUAUCACCGUUGAGCCUCAGUAUCACUAUUUGGACAAAUAUAUGCUCCAUCAGUUGUACCAUUAUCAUCAAGAGAUUCAAUCUCUGUAUGAGAAAUAUCAGUAUCACAACGUCAGCAAGACGGUCGUCAAUUUUAUAACAAACGACGUAUCGGCAGUAUACUGUCACAUGAUAAAGGAUAGGAUUUACUGUGAGAAAAUAGAUUCGCCUUACAGGUUGGGUGCUUUGGACGUCAUCGGCGAAAUUCUGUCAAUCACCACUCGGUCCAUAGCGCCUAUCUUACCUCACUUGGCAGAGGAAGUCUGGCUUCAUCACCCCGAAAAUCUGGCAUCCGUCCCAAUAUUCCACACUCAGCACAGGUCUCUAGAAAGUUGGAACAAUUUGGAGUAUAAGGAGAUUAUAGAGAAAGCUCUAGAUUUGAGGAGUGAAAUAAACAAACUAACCAGUCAAAACACGUGGCUCUCGAAAGCUACAGUCAAGGCCAAUUCUCAGGACUUUAAACUACUAUCGAGCCUACACAAAGAUGAGACAUCCUCAUUAUCGGAACUCUGUGAUAUCUGUCAAGUAUCUUCGAUAACGUUACUGCAAGACGAUUCUUGUGACCACAUGAACGUCAGUCUGGAAGACAUCAAGGGUCAGCUAUGCAAAAGAUGCCGGCGACAUCCGGAACCUGCACCCGAGGAAAUUUGUGACAGAUGCACCGAAGUUUUGAACGAUGCGUAAUCUGACCGUAAUGCGAUGACUGAAUAUGAUUGAUUUUUUACGUUACAUAAUGAUUGUACAUACAGGUGUAAAUGUUGCAUCUAUUUGAAGUGGAAACGGCGUUGACUCUGUACAGCAAUUAAAAUUUGAACGUUUCAAUCAACAAAGUGAUAAGGCAUAAUAAAUAAAAUUGUAUCUUGAGCGACGGACUAAGAGGAACAAAGACUUGGGGAAGUUAAAAAAAUAAAUAACAUUGCAUUAUA
This is an RNA transcript of Nasonia vitripennis (jewel wasp), 3618 nucleotides long. It is a transcript of the gene named isoleucyl-tRNA synthetase 2, mitochondrial, with no coding region annotated. The transcript is spliced from 16 exons. Lineage: Eukaryota; Metazoa; Arthropoda; Insecta; Hymenoptera; Pteromalidae. The record is from RefSeq and is marked inferred.